Long non-coding RNA from Hippocampus comes (tiger tail seahorse), 633 nucleotides. RefSeq lists it as uncharacterized. NCBI's taxonomy places the organism in Eukaryota, Metazoa, Chordata, Actinopteri, Syngnathiformes, Syngnathidae. The transcript is spliced from 3 exons. The record is from RefSeq and is a predicted model, not a curated record.
AGAAUUUCUGCCAAGAGAUCUCAAGGUUAUCAUUUGUGGUUGGCGAUACAAAACAGGGCUGGGACUUGUGUAUUAUAAUUGUUGUUAUUAUCAGAAUGUAGAAACCUGGCGAACUGAAACCAGGUCUACAAUUACCGAUCAGGCAGCAGUCCUUGCGGUAUGACAGUAUGCCCUACUGUUGUGGGCCCGAUGCCAAAUCGAAACCCACUUAGCACGUUCAUGCCUGCCUCGUAACGUGCGUGGAAGCUUCCCCAGGUGGAAACCCAAGUGGGCGAGCAGCGGGAUCCUCGCGCCCCCACUCUUUUUUUUUUUGUACGUGUGUUUAAGUGGAUACACAUGAGACGCUUCCAAUUAGGCCCAGACUGUUUCCCAGAAGCGUCCCCCCACCCCACCCCGCCUUUCUCCUGCUCCUGGCCCGGGCACGGCGACGAGGGAACCGAGUGCCGUCCCUACCUCGCGUGAAAACGAUUCGUCUCGUAAAAUCAGUGUGACACGGAUGCAGUCGAAAGUGUUGCCCAGCAGCUGCUCGCCAGCUCGAUUCGACAGUCAGCGAGGCGCCUCGGUAAGUGUCUUAAGAUGAUGCAGAAAAAGGAUCGCAGGGAGUAGCUGGAGCCUAUUCCAGCUGACUUCGGG